This 1607-nucleotide long non-coding RNA is filed under the name Equus asinus (donkey). RNAcentral's name for it is "lncRNA (ENSEASG00005037246.1)". Lineage: Eukaryota; Metazoa; Chordata; Mammalia; Perissodactyla; Equidae. The record is from RNAcentral.
GUCCGGGAGGGAAACCCGAGGCCCCGAGCUGGAAGGGACAGGCGUCGUCGUCGCCGCGUUGCCUCUGCUUCACCCGCGCGCCUGAGAGCGCCGCCUCCGCCAGGUGGAAGCAGGAUCGAGGCUGGUUUCUUCGGGGUAAUUUUUCUUUCUUAUAGAGAGAAGACAGAUGUGCGAAGAGAGAGGCAGCCAACCUGGGCUCUGCUCAACCCUGAGUUACCUUAUGGCUCCUCGGUGUCUCUGUAACCGCGGAGUUUAUUCCCUGGCACAGGUAAACUGGGAAGCAGACUCUUGAGUUCACAGCUGGCCUGUGGGUUUUGCAUCUCGUUAAGGAGCACCUCGUCAUACAGGAGUGUGUGGCCUUGAGUUUUUGCUCCUGCCUUCUUGUCCUGCUUCUACAUUAACACUCCUCAUCGUUCAGCCUUUGCAGUCGCUUUGUUUGGGUGUGUGCAGCGCUAAGCAAAGAGAAAGACGUCAUCUUCUGGUUUCUGCAUGUACUUUCCACAACCUGGUCGAGGUUCCAGCCAACAAGUCCACGUAAAAGCAGUCGCCUAACCAUGGUGUCUUCUCCCUGAUGCUGAGCCCCAGUUGUACAGCUGCCUGAAGGAGAAUUUAGUGAAAGACAAGGCAGCAAAAGAAAUCCGAGUCUCAGCUGACCCCCUGCGUGUUCUUAGGGUUGCCUAGAGUCAGGACUUCAGCUUUGCCCAGGAAUUUCCAGUCUCCACGGAAUCCAGUUUGUCUGCCAUACUUGAAAAAUAAACUAAGAAAAGAAAUUGCAGUUUAAAAGCCCAGAUGUUAAAAUAUGAGUAGGAUUUGUUUUUUAGUCUGUUUUUGGAAUUUGGAAGUUUAUCUACUAUUUUGUGUUGCUCCGUCCCUGCAGAAGCUGAAUGCAAGGUGGUGGUUGUGUGUCUGGUCUUCACGCCGCCAAACACAUCGGGAGUGCUUACGAAUUCAUAAUAAUACGAACUCUUUGAGCUUCCAGGAGAUAUCUGAUUCGCAGAGUGCCUCCUGGUGUAUAAUACCAUCCUAAUCAGGGUAGAAAAGAAAUGACGUAGGUCAAGCCGUCAAGUUGUUGAGCUGGUCCUCGUCCUCACAGGGGCUCUCACACACAGGUGGGCGUUCAGGCACACGUCACAGAGCUCUUGAGUUGGAUCGUGACUACCUCACAUCAUCCUACUUGGAAAAUCCAAGAAGUGAUACAGAGCCUGAAUUUCCAUAGAGCUUCUGAACUUUGUGUUUUGGACUUCUGAUAGGUGCUUUUCUUUCAUUCAUGAAAUGUUUACCGUUUCUAAAGAUGGGACUGCUGGCAUUUCAAUGGUAGAAUUUGUGUAUCAGGGCAUAUGUGUGUGUGUGUGUGUGUGUGUGUUUAACAUGGCUGUUUUGGAGCAUUGGUCUUGAUCCAAAGACACUGUCCAGGGUGGGCCCUUUGUAUACAGGGUACACAUUUGGGAACAAUGAGAGCAAAGGCAGCUAGCAGACACAGCACCUGGUCUCUGGUCUUGGACUCCAGGGUCAUUAGCAUACUGGUCUCUGACGGACAAUUGCCUUUAUUGCUGCAAUGCCUGGGCACCCUAACUGUGGCUGGUGAUAGAUACAAAAAAAAAAAUGGC